This 224-nucleotide ribosomal RNA is filed under the name uncultured bacterium. RNAcentral's name for it is "partial 16S ribosomal RNA". It matches the Rfam family "Bacterial small subunit ribosomal RNA", at positions 524 to 743 of the family's 1533-position model. The record is from RNAcentral.
UACGUAGGGUGCAAGCGUUAAUCGGAAUCACUGGGCUUAAAGCGUGUGUAGGCGGAUCGUUAAGUGUCUUGUGAAAUCCCACGGCUCACCCCGUGGAACGGCUGGGCAUACUGGCGAUCUUGGGCCAACUAGGGGCAACUGGAACAAGCGGUGGAGCGGUGAAAUGCGUAGAUAUCGCUUGGAACGCCGGAAGGUGAAAAACAGGUUGCUGGGGGUUGUGCCGG